AGCGGCGGACGGGUGAGUAACACGUGGGCAACCUGCCUGUAAGACUGGGAUAACUUCGGGAAACCGGAGCUAAUACCGGAUAAUCCUUUCCUACUCAUGUAGGAAAGCUGAAAGACGGUUUACGCUGUCACUUACAGAUGGGCCCGCGGCGCAUUAGCUAGUUGGUGAGGUAACGGCUCACCAAGGCGACGAUGCGUAGCCGACCUGAGAGGGUGAUCGGCCACACUGGGACUGAGACACGGCCCAGACUCCUACGGGAGGCAGCAGUAGGGAAUCUUCCGCAAUGGACGAAAGUCUGACGGAGCAACGCCGCGUGAGUGAUGAAGGUUUUCGGAUCGUAAAACUCUGUUGUUAGGGAAGAACAAGUACGAGAGUAACUGCUCGUACCUUGACGGUACCUAACCAGAAAGCCACGGCUAACUACGUGCCAGCAGCCGCGGUAAUACGUAGGUGGCAAGCGUUGUCCGGAAUUAUUGGGCGUAAAGCGCGCGCAGGCGGUCCUUUAAGUCUGAUGUGAAAGCCCACGGCUCAACCGUGGAGGGUCAUUGGAAACUGGGGGACUUGAGUGCAGAAGAGAAGAGUGGAAUUCCACGUGUAGCGGUGAAAUGCGUAGAGAUGUG
Molecule: ribosomal RNA, 620 nt
Filed under: Bacillus sp. I12B-00704
Lineage: Bacteria; Bacillati; Bacillota; Bacilli; Caryophanales; Bacillaceae
Description: bacterial SSU rRNA
Rfam family: Bacterial small subunit ribosomal RNA
Source: RNAcentral